Long non-coding RNA from Lolium rigidum, 210 nucleotides. RefSeq lists it as uncharacterized. NCBI's taxonomy places the organism in Eukaryota, Viridiplantae, Streptophyta, Magnoliopsida, Poales, Poaceae. The transcript has 3 exons. The record is from RefSeq and is a predicted model, not a curated record.
GACGACGUCGCAGAAAGCUCAAGCGGAUGGACAAAGCAAGAAGAAAGCCUAGAUCAGAGUCAGUCUGUAGCAACUCCUGAGAGGAGACCAGAUUCAUGAUGGAUGGCUUUGGUAUGAUGCUAGCUUGGGAGAUCCCACUCCAUCGGAUCAACAAAUUACCAUGGUGGCAGAAAAUAAAAAACAAUGUUAAAUAGCUAUUUGGAAUGCAAG